RNAcentral lists this long non-coding RNA (423 nucleotides) under Olea europaea subsp. europaea. Lineage: Eukaryota; Viridiplantae; Streptophyta; Magnoliopsida; Lamiales; Oleaceae. The record is from RNAcentral.
UUCACUUUUUGUCUUAGGAUCAUCAACAUUUGCUAAUUGAAGUAACGCUUUUUUUUAUUUGCAGAGUUUGAAAUCUUAUCGCUCUAACACUUUCAAUAUGGCUUUCUCAACGAGUUUGUGACAAAGGCUUAAGGGUAAGACCAGUUACAUUCUCUUUGAAAACUUUCCAUCGUUUAGUAGAUGAAGAAAAUAGAGUAUAUAUAUGUUGCACCACCCCAAAGAAAAAUUUAGCUUUUGAACAACAAGUGGCCAUAUCACAAAGUGCAAGAUUAAGACUAUGACAUCCACAAGGAAUGUAGAAUGCUCUAGGAUUUAGUUGUAAUAGUCUACUUUGAACUCCUUUAUGUUGUCCUUUCAUGUUAGUACCAUUAUCAUAGCCUUGACCCCUUACAUUAUCAAUAUCAAGUUCUAGAUUAUUUAAAG